Long non-coding RNA from Bombus terrestris (buff-tailed bumblebee), 1205 nucleotides. RefSeq lists it as uncharacterized. NCBI's taxonomy places the organism in Eukaryota, Metazoa, Arthropoda, Insecta, Hymenoptera, Apidae. The transcript is spliced from 2 exons. The record is from RefSeq and is a predicted model, not a curated record.
CGCUAGAAAACUCUCGUCUGGUUCGAGACCGAUCUUCGUUCAACAAAUAGACGAUAAAUCUGACAAAAGAUUUAUCCAAAACUGUAGGGCGGACGAGAGGAGAAAAGAAAAGGGAUUCGCAAAAAUGCGGGCGAGGGUGGAUCGCGCACAAUAUAUCCGGUGUGGAGUCGGCCGCGUGACGGUUAAGACGAAUGUAAAAAGUAAGUAGAAGGGUGGUAUGUUCUCAUUGCUGUUCGCACAAUGCGUCGUCUUUUAGGUGGCUUUCGUGGCGCGCACCGUCAACGUGGCGCAUUAAUACGCACCACCGUGGCUUUUAUGAGCUUUGGAAAAGAGAGCGAUAGCCUGUCUGCCUCUCUAUCUGCCAUUUCACCCUGUUUUCACCGCCGGGUACACCGGGUAUCUCGGCGGUGCCUCGGCGAUGCGUGUUUGCCUCGAUGCCUGGCAGCGGGCCGUGACGUCGUCGUCGUCAUCCAUUCGCAAUCAAAGUUGCGUCGACCGUGGUGCCGUAUCAUUCUGAACGACGACGUACACCACAAGCCGAGCGAGCAUUCACGUGCGGACUGUACGACGAUCCCACACGAUGUUGGCGGCACGCGUAGCGACGCGCUAGCUGUCAGCGUAUGCGUGGCCAGGACCUUUCUAAACGCAGAUACGAGCCGCUGGUCUAGCCAAGGGUUGCGACGAUACAUCCGUAGGUAUAGGAUGGCAAGAACAGACGUCUGUGCUGAUAAAGAGAAAAAAUAUAAAAUUUAGAAAACUUCAAUGAGAAGAAGAAAUCAUGUUCGUAUAACAGAUGGUUUCAAAGACAAAAUUUAAUGUAUAUUUCGGAGCAAAAUAAAUUCGACAAAAUAUAUUAUAUGCAUAUAAAGAUCACAAGAAGACACGUGAGUCUACUUCUGUUGGUUCUUUUAAUUUUCACAUCACUCUGUAGCUAAAGGGAAAUAUUAAAAAGAUACCUAAACAUGUUAGGUAAGAGUACGUGAGAAAUUACACGUCAAACAUAAUUAACAAAUCUGUGAAUUUUGAAAACCGUAUAGCGAUUGAUAUUUCUGCAAAAUAGGUAUGCAUACUAAAUAUAUUAACUAUUACUAUGAAAAAUAAAAUAUAAACUAUGCAGAAUACAAAAGAUGUUUCAAAUAUUAUUGUUUCAAAUGUUAUUAAGAUCGACAAAGGCCACCCAAAUAAAAAGAAUAUUAAGAUAUUUA